RNAcentral lists this ribosomal RNA (496 nucleotides) under uncultured bacterium. RNAcentral's name for it is "partial 16S ribosomal RNA". It matches the Rfam family "Bacterial small subunit ribosomal RNA", at positions 28 to 506 of the family's 1533-position model. The record is from RNAcentral.
GAUGAACGCUGGCGGCGUGCCUAAUACAUGCAAGUCGAGCGAACAGACGAGGAGCUUGCUCCUCUGACGUUAGCGGCGGACGGGUGAGUAACACGUGGAUAACCUACCUAUAAGACUGGGAUAACUUCCGGAAACCGGAGCUAAUACCGGAUAAUAUAUUGAACCGCAUGGUUCAAUAGUGAAAGACGGUUUUGCUGUCACUUAUAGAUGGAUCCGCGCCGCAUUAGCUAGUUGGUAAGGUAACGGCUUACCAAGGCAACGAUGCGUAGCCGACCUGAGAGGGUGAUCGGCCACACUGGAACUGAGACACGGUCCAGACUCCUACGGGAGGCAGCAGUAGGGAAUCUUCCGCAAUGGGCGAAAGCUUGACGGAGCAACGCCGCGUGAGUGAUGAAGGUCUUCGGAUCGUAAAACUCUGUUAUUAGGGAAGAACAAAUGUGUAAGUAACUAUGCACGUCUUGACGGUACCUAAUCAGAAAGCCACGGCUAACUACGU